Molecule: ribosomal RNA, 274 nt
Filed under: uncultured bacterium
Lineage: Bacteria
Description: partial 16S ribosomal RNA
Rfam family: Bacterial small subunit ribosomal RNA
Source: RNAcentral
AUACGGAGGGUGCGAGCGUUAAUCGGAAUUACUGGGCGUAAAGCGCGCGUAGGCGGCUUGGUCAGUCGGAUGUGAAAGCCCCGGGCUUAACCUGGGAACUGCAUUCGAUACUGCCAGGCUAGAGUAUGGUAGAGGGAAGCGGAAUUUCCGGUGUAGCGGUGAAAUGCGUAGAUAUCGGAAGGAACACCAGUGGCGAAGGCGGCUUCCUGGACCAAUACUGACGCUGAGGUGCGAAAGCGUGGGGAGCAAACAGGAUUAGAAACCCUAGUAGUCC